RNAcentral lists this ribosomal RNA (797 nucleotides) under Haptolina ericina. Its description in RNAcentral is "bacterial SSU rRNA". It matches the Rfam family "Bacterial small subunit ribosomal RNA", at positions 506 to 1310 of the family's 1533-position model. The record is from RNAcentral. Lineage: Eukaryota; Haptophyta; Prymnesiales; Prymnesiaceae.
UGCCAGCAGCCGCGGUAAUAUCGGGGGAUGCAAGCGUUAUCCGGAAUCAUUGGGCGUAAAGCGCCUGUAGGUUGUUUAAUAAGUCUGUUGUUAAAGACUAGGGCUCAACCCUAGAAAAGCAAUGGAAACUACUAGACUAGAGUAUGGCAGGGGUAGAGGGAAUUUCUAGUGUAGCGGUGAAAUGCGUAGAUAUUAGAAAGAACACCAGUGGCGAAAGCGCUCUACUGGACCAUUACUGACACUCAGAGGCGAAAGCUAGGGUAGCAAAAGGGAUUAGAUACCCCUGUAGUCCUAGCCGUAAACGAUGGAUACUAGAUGUUGUAUUUAUUUUACAGUAUCGUAGCUAACGCGUUAAGUAUCCCGCCUGGGGAGUACGCUCGCAAGGGUGAAACUCAAAGGAAUUGACGGGGGCCCGCACAAGCGGUGGAGCAUGUGGUUUAAUUCGAUGCAACGCGAAGAACCUUACCAGGGCUUGACAUACUGCGAAUUUUUUUGAAAAAAAAGAGUGCCUUCGGGAAUGCAGAUACAGGUGGUGCAUGGCUGUCGUCAGCUCGUGUCGUGAGAUGUUGGGUUAAGUCCCGCAACGAGCGCAACCCUUGUUUUUAGUUACCAAUUCGUUGGGUUUUCUAGAAAGACUGCCGGUGACAAACCGGAGGAAGGUGAGGAUGACGUCAAGUCAGCAUGCCCCUUAUGUCCUGGGCUACACACGUGCUACAAUGGUUAGGACAAAGAGUUGCAAAUUUGCAAAAAUUAGCUAAUCUCGUAAACCUAGCCUAAGUUCAGAUUGUAGGCUGCAA